Molecule: transfer RNA, 70 nt
Filed under: Ischnocnema parva
Lineage: Eukaryota; Metazoa; Chordata; Amphibia; Anura; Brachycephalidae
Description: tRNA-Val
Source: RNAcentral
CGAAACAUAGCUUAUCCAAAGCCUUUCGCUUACACCGAAAAAAAGUCCGUUAAACCCAGACUGUUUCGAG